Molecule: ribosomal RNA, 460 nt
Filed under: uncultured bacterium
Lineage: Bacteria
Description: partial 16S ribosomal RNA
Rfam family: Bacterial small subunit ribosomal RNA
Source: RNAcentral
CCUACGGGAGGCUGCAGUGAGGAAUAUUGGUCAAUGGGCGCGAGCCUGAUCCAGCCAAGCAGCGUGAAGGAUGACUGCCCUACGGGCUGUAAACUUCUUUUAUAAAGGAAUAAAGUGCGGCACGUGUGCCUUUUUGUAUGUACUUUAUGAAUAAGGAUCGGCUAACUCCGCGCCAGCAGCCGCUGUAAUACGGAUGAUCCGAGCGUUAUGCGGACUUAUUGGGUUUAAAGGGAGCGUAGAUGGGGUGUUAAGUCAGUUGUGAAAGUUUGCGGCUCAACCGUAAGAUUGCAAUUGAUACUGGCAGGCUGGAGUACAGUUGAGGUAGGCGGAAUUCGUGGUGUAGCGGUGAAAUGCUUAGAUAUCACGAAGAACUCCGAUUGCGGAGGCAGCCUACUAAACUGCAACUGACAUUGAUGCUCGAAAGUGUGGGUAUCAAACAGGAUUAGAUACCCCGGUAGUC